UGGGGAAUAUUGCACAAUGGGCGCAAGCCUGAUGCAGCCAUGCCGCGGGUGUGAAGAAGGCCUUCGGGUUGUAAAGCACUUUCAGCGGGGAGGAAGGCGAUAAGGUUAAUAACCUUGUCGAUUGACGUUACCCGCAGAAGAAGCACCGGCUAACUCCGUGCCAGCAGCCGCGGUAAUACGGAGGGUGCAAGCGUUAAUCGGAAUUACUGGGCGUAAAGCGCACGCAGGCGGUCUGUCAAGUCGGAUGUGAAAUCCCCGGGCUCAACCUGGGAACUGCAUCUGAUACUGGCAAGCUUGAGUCUCGUAGAGGGGGGUAGAAUUCCAGGUGUAGCGGUGAAAUGCGUAGAGAUCUGGAGGAAUACCGGUGGCGAAGGCGGCCCCCUGGACGAAGACUGACGCUCAGGUGCGAAAGCGUGGGGAGCAAACAGG
Molecule: ribosomal RNA, 429 nt
Filed under: Chloroflexota bacterium
Lineage: Bacteria; Bacillati; Chloroflexota
Description: Chloroflexi bacterium partial 16S ribosomal RNA
Rfam family: Bacterial small subunit ribosomal RNA
Source: RNAcentral